GAUGAACGCUGGCGGCGUGCCUAAUACAUGCAAGUCGAGCGAACAGACGAGGAGCUUGCUCCUCUGACGUUAGCGGCGGACGGGUGAGUAACACGUGGAUAACCUACCUAUAAGACUGGGAUAACUUCGGGAAACCGGAGCUAAUACCGGAUAAUAUAUUGAACCGCAUGGUUCAAUAGUGAAAGACGGUUUUGCUGUCACUUAUAGAUGGAUCCGCGCCGCAUUAGCUAGUUGGUAAGGUAACGGCUUACCAAGGCAACGAUGCGUAGCUGACCUGAGAGGGUGAUCGGCCACACUGGAACUGAGACACGGUCCAGACUCCUACGGGAGGCAGCAGUAGGGAAUCUUCCGCAAUGGGCGAAAGCUUGACGGAGCAACGCCGCGUGAGUGAUGAAGGUCUUCGGAUCGUAAAACUCUGUUAUUAGGGAAGAACAAAUGUGUAAGUAACUAUGCACGUCUUGACGGUACCUAAUCAGAAAGCCACGGCUAACUACGUG
RNAcentral lists this ribosomal RNA (497 nucleotides) under uncultured bacterium. Its description in RNAcentral is "partial 16S ribosomal RNA". It matches the Rfam family "Bacterial small subunit ribosomal RNA", at positions 28 to 507 of the family's 1533-position model. The record is from RNAcentral.